Molecule: ribosomal RNA, 454 nt
Filed under: uncultured Porphyromonadaceae bacterium
Lineage: Bacteria; Pseudomonadati; Bacteroidota; Bacteroidia; Bacteroidales; Porphyromonadaceae
Description: partial 16S ribosomal RNA
Rfam family: Bacterial small subunit ribosomal RNA
Source: RNAcentral
ACGGGAGGCAGCAGUGAGGAAUAUUGGUCAAUGGGCGGAAGCCUGAACCAGCCAUGUCGCGUGCAGGACUACGGCCCUACGGGUCUUAAACUGCUUUUGAUUGGGGAUAAAGUGGGGGACGCGUCCCCUAUUGCAGGUACCAAUCGAAUAAGGAUCGGCUAACUCCGUGCCAGCAGCCGCGGUAAUACGGAGGAUCCGAGCGUUAUCCGGAUUUAUUGGGUUUAAAGGGUGCGUAGGCGGGCUGUUAAGUCAGCGGUGAAACCCCCGGGCUCAACCCGGGGACUGCCAUUGGAACUGGCGGCCUAGAGUACGUUGGGAGUGCGCGGAAUGUGUGGUGUAGCGGUGAAAUGCAUAGAUAUCACGAAGAACUCCGAUUGCGAAGGCAGCCAUCUGGCGUGUUACUGACGCUCAUGCUCGAAGGCGCGGGUAUCAAACAGGAUUAGAUACCCUGGUA